Molecule: ribosomal RNA, 353 nt
Filed under: Pachylibunus sp. MZSP 72933
Lineage: Eukaryota; Metazoa; Arthropoda; Arachnida; Opiliones; Gonyleptidae
Description: partial large subunit ribosomal RNA
Rfam family: Bacterial large subunit ribosomal RNA (bases 83-353)
Source: RNAcentral
UGAAGGGUAGAGACUGAAAGGAAAGUUUUAUUUGAUAAGUUUGAAAUUAAAUUAAAAGUAAAAAUGCUUUUAUUAUUUUUUGGGACGAGAAGACCCUAGAAGCUUACAAAUUUAAGAAUUUUUGGUUGGGGUAAUAGUUGAAGAGAUAAAUUUUUAACGGAAAAAUUUAAAUUAUAAUAAAGUUACUCUAGGGAUAACAGCAUUAUUUAAUUAGCAAGUUCUUAUUAAUAAUUAAGUUUGUGACCUCGAUGUUGAAUUAAAUGUUAUUUUUGAUGAAGAAGUUAAAUUAUAUAGUCUGUUCGACUAUUAAAUUUUUACAUGAUUUGAGUUCAAACCGGUUUAAUCCAGGUCGG